GUAAUUAUCCUCAUCAUGUACUUCCCAGAACAGAAUAGCAUUAUGUGAAGCAAAUACUUCAGAUCCUAACCUGUACCUGACCUUACCAAAACUAAGGCACAGGUCAGAAUUGGAGCCAAUGCUGAGCUGCACCAUGCCACUGGCACAGUGUCUUAUGGAACUGGAUGGAGCCCCAUUACUAUGUCACCCUGAAAGAGGUGCAGCGACUACCACCUCUCUAUCUGUUUUGGUGAAUCUAACAUCAGCAGUGCUGCAAGGCAGCCACAAGAGGAAGACAGAGACCCACACGGUCCUAGAGUGAAUGUGGAAUGUACAUGUGGAAUGUACAAUCACAAAAAGGGGGACUAUUCCACCGCAACUUGAUCGCAAUUCAACAUUAAUCAGGGCAAUAUACAGAAACUGGAAGAGCUAUUCACCUCUGCAACAGAUUUGAAAGUUACAGCUAAGUUCAGGUAAGCAUGUUCACUUUCGAGGACUUGUCUGAUCAAAACCUCCGAACUUUUGAUCCUGUGUACCACAGGUUUUCCAGUCCCAUGGUGCACUCUUAGUGCACAAAAUUGCAAGGAAGCACAAUAAAAUUAAAAAUUUUAAAAGACAAUUUAGUAGUAUAUAGUGAAGGGACCAUUGUUCAUAUACAUCUACAGUAUUUUACUGUAAUAUCCCAAGCACUACAGCUCAUAAAGUGAUACCACAGUAUUUUGGACUAUUACAUCCUUUUAUUUUGACCUGAUGUGUCCUGCUGACAACUAUCUGCUAUAAUGAAGAAAGGAGCAAGCCAUCUGGCCACCUUCUGACUGAAGAGGACCUUUGGU
Dermochelys coriacea (leatherback sea turtle) is the source of this 812-nucleotide long non-coding RNA. RefSeq lists it as uncharacterized. The transcript is spliced from 4 exons. Lineage: Eukaryota; Metazoa; Chordata; Testudines; Dermochelyidae. The record is from RefSeq and is a predicted model, not a curated record.